Non-coding RNA from Nothobranchius furzeri (turquoise killifish), 441 nucleotides. The record is from RefSeq and is a predicted model, not a curated record. NCBI's taxonomy places the organism in Eukaryota, Metazoa, Chordata, Actinopteri, Cyprinodontiformes, Nothobranchiidae.
CUCCCCCCACGUAUCAAUUUUAAAAAAUGCAACAUUAGUAGGCGUUGCCUGGAGGACCGAGAGGGCGGAGCCGCGGCAGUGACGAAGACGAUGGCUAACUAGACGAAGCUAGCUCCCUUCACUCUGAGCAGUUGAUAGAAGUGGAGGACGUUUCUCCCCCUCCUUACAGACACUCAAGAAGAAAGGGACCAAGUCUAUUUGGAGGAGACAAGCGGACCUGAGUCUUAUUGUUUUGAGCUUGUGAGUUGCCUGAAACUCCCAGAACCGACCCAACAGAAUCACCUCUGAAAGGUCCUCUGGUGUCUGCAGCUGGUCUCUGGUGUCUGCAGCUGGUCUCCUCUGCUGGUGUCCUCAGGAUCAGGAACUUCCAGAAGAAUGUGCCUUUCAAUGACUCUUUCCCCCUUAUUUGUUAUAUUAAUUAAAUAAAUCUCAAUUUAUAUA